RNAcentral lists this long non-coding RNA (2159 nucleotides) under Olea europaea subsp. europaea. The record is from RNAcentral. Lineage: Eukaryota; Viridiplantae; Streptophyta; Magnoliopsida; Lamiales; Oleaceae.
CACACACACACUAGAAGAAAGAAAGAACCGGCAGAGAAGAAGAAAAAGGGAAAGAAAAGAGGGAAGAAAAAGAAGAAAAGGAAGGAAAGGAAAAAGAAAGGAAAAGAGGUAGUGGCUAUUCCAAUUUCAUUUUCAAUUUGUCUAAUUUCUUUAAAAGAUAUGGUAUGUUUUAUGCUUAAAUUUUUAGAGUUUUGAUUUUAUUUGUUUAAUCUUCAGAUUUUAAGGAAGGAAUAUAUAUGUUUUCUAGUCAAUAUUUUUGAAUUGGAGAUGCUAUUUACACUAGGGUAAGAAAUACCAAUUUUGGGCAAAACCCUAGAAUUUUCAUUUGGGUUUUUGAAUGAGUUUAGUUAACAGGAAAAUUUGUAAGGAUGAAAUACUCAUUUGAAGGCAUGAAUUUAUGGAUCAAGAUGGGAAAUUAAAUUGGUUAAAUUAUGAUUAUUAAUUUUACUAGUUUGGAAGAAUGAAUUAUUUUUUAUGUUUGGAGUGAAGAUUAUUGUAAUGAAUUAGCUAUUAAGAAAUGGACUAGAAAGUGGAAUUAGUUUGAAGUGAUUAAAGGAAAUUGGGGAAAAUAUUAUUCAAGUAUCGAGAAGUCAAGUUUUAGUAUUCGAUUACUAGUAUUAAGAAAUACUUAGUAUGGAAGUUGUUAGAUUAGUUAUUUUAUAUCGUAUUUCAGGUGGUAACGUGAAAGCUAGGCAAGGCUGGUAAAAUUGAACCAGAUUGCUAUUCAUAGAACUGUGAGUGGAAAAUCUACGUUUUCAAAAAGAAGAUUUCCUUUUUAUUUUAAAGCAUGUUAAUUACAUGAAAUGCCUUAUUUUCGAGAAUUAGUAAAUGAGCAUGAUUGUUUUGAAAUUAUCAUUUAAAUAAUUGAUGUGAUUAUCUUACUCUAGUGCACUGAGGGGCUACGGCCGUGUAAUAGAGUCAUGGAUUUAACUCCUAUACACUGAGAGGCUACAGCCGUGUAUAAAGGUAACUCUUAUCCACUGAGGAGCUACGGCCGUGUGUAAGGGUACCUAUUAUACACUGAGGGGCUACAGCCGUGUAUAAGGAUGAUUAUGUUGUUUUCAUCUUGUACACUGAGGGGCUACGGCCGUGUACAGAGUAUUGAUCAGACGGUUUAUGUGCAUAUGAUUUUAUAGCUUUCAGAUCAUCUGUGAUGAUUACAUGGAGUAUAUUUUGAUGUGAAUUUUAAGUAUAUAGCGGAUUAUUAGCUUUCAGCUUACAUUUUCCCGUUUAUAGUUCAGCUUAUGGAUUUUAGAUUAUGAUUUUAGCUUAGUGAGUUUGUCUAGUGUUCUCACUCAUCUUGUAUUAAUUAUUAUCAUCUUUCUUUUAUAUAUCAGCUUGAGUCUAAUUUAUAAUUUAGUACCAGAAUUUUGAGUUUAUACGAUGUUAUGAUACAGACAUCAAGAAUAAUGAGUACAUUAAGGUAAAUGUAGCUCUAUGUAUGUAUGACCAGAUUAUAGAAUUCAGUUAUUCAGUUCUAAGAAUAAAGUUUUCAGUUUAUAGUAUUGAGUAACAACAAUAUUUCAUAGAUUAUCAUGGGUACCAAAAUUUGUUAUACUUUACAGUUAUUUAUCUCGAAUAAAGAACAAAGAAUCUUAUGAUGCAGUCAUGUUUUAAAUGAGAAUGAUAGUCUGUGCUUCUCUCUAGCCCAUGCACAAGAUGAUGCUGUAGAGUGACACAAGCCCUUUUCAAAGUUUGUUAGAAACAUAAACGCUUAUGGAGCCAAAAUGACGGCUUCAAUCGCCCUAACUAAGGAGUGAGUGACUGGUGAGUAUUUGUCAAUUCACCUUUCAGAAGAUGAUUGAUUUUCGAACAGCGUAGACAAAAAGAAGAGGCAGCUAUAACAAGCUUAGGCAUCCGAUGGACAGAUGCAUCCAAAAGAGAGGAAACUUCACACCCGAAAUGAUCUAGUUUCUCAUUUAGACUAUCUACUUCUUUCUAUUUUUUAUUGUUGCCACCCCCAUUUGUCAUUUAACACACUUGUAGUUUUUCUUAAUCCAGGAUGUGGAUAGGCUCUCGUAUUUUGCUUCACUUAAUCAAUGUUGGUUUCUUUUCGAAGCAAUAACAUGUACCUAUCAUGCUAUUGAACAGAUCUACUUCAACGUGGAGUAUAUUUCCUUCCAUUUUAACACUUUUGUUUGUGACUAGGUGAAUCAUCC